Molecule: ribosomal RNA, 391 nt
Filed under: uncultured bacterium
Lineage: Bacteria
Description: partial 16S ribosomal RNA
Rfam family: Bacterial small subunit ribosomal RNA
Source: RNAcentral
AUACGGAGGAUCCGAGCGUUAUCCGGAUUUAUUGGGCGUAAAGAGGGAGCAGGCGGCAGCAAGGGUCUGUGGUGAAAGCCUGAAGCUUAACUUCAGUAAGCCAUAGAAACCAGGCAGCUAGAGUGCAGGAGAGGAUCGUGGAAUUCCAUGUGUAGCGGUGAAAUGCGUAGAUAUAUGGAGGAACACCGGUGGCGAAGGCGACGAUCUGGCCUGCAACUGACGCUCAGUCCCGAAAGCGUGGGGAGCAAAUAGGAUUAGAUACCCUAGUAGUCCACGCCGUAAACGAUGAGUACUAAGUGUUGGAUGUCAAAGUUCAGUGCUGCAGUUAACGCAAUAAGUACUCCGCCUGAGUAGUACGUUCGCAAGAAUGAAACUCAAAGGAAUUGGCGGG